UACGUAGGGGCCUAGCGUUGUCCGGAUUUAUUGGGCGUAAAGAGCUCGUAGGCGGUCUGUUACGUCUGCUGUGAAAACCCGGGGCUUAACCCUGGGCUUGCAGUGGAUACGGGCAGACUAGAGGCAGGUAGGGGAGAAUGGAAUUCCCGGUGUAGCGGUGAAAUGCGCAGAUAUCGGGAGGAACACCGGUGGCGAAGGCGGUUCUCUGGGCCUGACCUGACGCUGAGGAGCGAAAGCGUGGGGAGCGAACAGG
Molecule: ribosomal RNA, 253 nt
Filed under: uncultured bacterium
Lineage: Bacteria
Description: partial 16S ribosomal RNA
Rfam family: Bacterial small subunit ribosomal RNA
Source: RNAcentral